UACCUCCGUCCGGGAUUAUAGGUCCGGCCGACCGAAUCCGCAGGACCAAGGCAGAGCGAAGACGCACACAAAUUCGUUGAUUCCCGAUGGUAUUAACUGCCGCAUGCACUGUUGCCUUUCGAGCUGAUCGCUUGCAUUGGCUGGAUUUUGCCCAUGCAAACAAGGGAGCACUAGUCACGGAACAAAUGCUGGCAUGCAGCUAGACUCCUUCGCAUGCAGCGGCUGGAAAGUAAUCACUGGAACAACAAUCGAGGGACAGCGGCCUAAUAAAAGUGUACACGGCUGUGUUGCUAAACGGCCUAAUAUAUUCGGACGGAGGUAUUACCACAAGCACCUCUCUCUUUAUUAAAUACGUGCCACAUAAGCAAAGUUGUAUUGGAGUGUGUGAUGUUACUCCUAAGUUCCUCCCCACUGUGACCAGCCU
RNAcentral lists this ribosomal RNA (424 nucleotides) under Triticum aestivum (bread wheat). RNAcentral's name for it is "partial small subunit ribosomal RNA". Lineage: Eukaryota; Viridiplantae; Streptophyta; Magnoliopsida; Poales; Poaceae. The record is from RNAcentral.